Molecule: ribosomal RNA, 253 nt
Filed under: uncultured bacterium
Lineage: Bacteria
Description: partial 16S ribosomal RNA
Rfam family: Bacterial small subunit ribosomal RNA
Source: RNAcentral
UACGAAGGUGGCAAGCGUUGUUCGGAUUUACUGGGCGUACAGGGAGCGUAGGCGGGCCAGCAAGUCAGGGGUGAAAGCCCACGGCUCAACCGUGGAAGUGCCUCUGAUACUGUUGGCCUCGAGGGAGGUAGGGGCGUGCGGAACUUCCGGUGGAGCGGUGAAAUGCGUAGAUAUCGGAAGGAACAUCGGUGGCGAAAGCGGCGCGCUGGACCUCUACUGACGCUGAGGCGCGAAAGCCAGGGGAGCAAACGGG